UUAGAGUUUGAUCAUGGCUCAGAUUGAACGCUGGCGGCAGGCCUAACACAUGCAAGUCGAACGGUAACAGGAAUCAGCUUGCUGAUUCGCUGACGAGUGGCGGACGGGUGAGUAAUGUCUGGGAAACUGCCUGAUGGAGGGGGAUAACUACUGGAAACGGUAGCUAAUACCGCAUAACGUCGCAAGACCAAAGAGGGGGACCUUCGGGCCUCUUGCCAUCGGAUGUGCCCAGAUGGGAUUAGCUAGUAGGUGGGGUAACGGCUCACCUAGGCGACGAUCCCUAGCUGGUCUGAGAGGAUGACCAGCCACACUGGAACUGAGACACGGUCCGGACUCCUACGGGAGGCAGCAGUGGGGAAUAUUGCACAAUGGGCGCAAGCCUGAUGCAGCCAUGCCGCGUGUAUGAAGAAGGCCUUCGGGUUGUAAAGUACUUUCAGCGGGGAGGAAGGGAGUAAAGUUAAUACCUUUGCUCAUUGACGUUACCCGCAGAAGAAGCACCGGCUAACUCCGUGCCAGCAGCCGCGGUAAUACA
This 532-nucleotide ribosomal RNA is filed under the name bacterium enrichment culture clone Jdg016. RNAcentral's name for it is "bacterial SSU rRNA". It matches the Rfam family "Bacterial small subunit ribosomal RNA", at positions 1 to 527 of the family's 1533-position model. The record is from RNAcentral.